Caenorhabditis remanei is the source of this 84-nucleotide non-coding RNA. Lineage: Eukaryota; Metazoa; Nematoda; Chromadorea; Rhabditida; Rhabditidae. The record is from Rfam.
UAUCCAACUAAAAUACCUUCAAGGCCUUUCCUAAGACCUCGAGUACAAUUUUUGGAAAACCCUGUCUAUUCUUUAGGCAGGGUG